GGCUGAAUUCAGUUCAGUGAGAUCUAUCAUCCCGAAGAGUUAAAACGUUAUGAAGUUCAACAUCAUUCUGUGUCUCACUUUCCUCAUACUGAUGGUUCUCCACUGUCAAGUUGAGGGCACACCACCGGAGCGUAAGAAGCGAAAAGAAUUGAUGAAGGUGCUCGUCAAACGUGCUCCUGUGCCAGACCAUCCGGAGCAGGGUACCAACAACAUAGGUUGUUUCUGGAUGGGUUGCUCUAAAAAGUGAUACUUCAGAGACAAGGCAGCGAAUUCGGGACAGCUUUACACUUUGACAACUCUAUUGGGAUGACCCAUCUAGGUUGCAACAAUCAUGCACUAUCAAGAUGGCUCUUUCACUAAAGUAAAACGUUGAAUAAAUUACAACACAAAUAGUUUCUUUAAUCUUUUAGAAGUAAGAUGGUACAGAAGAUGUUUUACAAACAAAACGGAUGUCUGCCGAACAAUAUAUGUAUACAAUAUAA
Molecule: long non-coding RNA, 482 nt
Organism: Aedes albopictus (Asian tiger mosquito)
Lineage: Eukaryota; Metazoa; Arthropoda; Insecta; Diptera; Culicidae
Exons: 2
Source: RefSeq, a predicted model, not a curated record